AGAGUUUGAUCCUGGCUCAGGAUGAACGCUAGCGGGAGGCCUAACACAUGCAAGCUGAGCGGUAUUGUUUCUUCGGAAACGAGAGAGCGGCGCACGGGUGCGGAACACGUGUGCAACCUGCCUUUAUCUGGGGGAUAGCCUUUCGAAAGGAAGAUUAAUACCCCAUAAUAUUUUGAAUGGCAUCAUUUAAAAUUGAAAACUCCGGUGGAUAGAGAUGGGCACGCGCAAGAUUAGAUAGUUGGUAGGGUAACGGCCUACCAAGUCAGUGAUCUUUAGGGGGCCUGAGAGGGUGAUCCCCCACACUGGUACUGAGACACGGACCAGACUCCUACGGGAGGCAGCAGUGAGGAAUAUUGGACAAUGGGUGAGAGCCUGAUCCAGCCAUCCCGCGUGAAGGACGACGGCCCUAUGGGUUGUAAACUUCUUUUGUACAGGGAUAAACCUAUUUACGUGUAAAUAGCUGAAGGUACUGUACGAAUAAGCACCGGCUAACUCCGUGCCAGCAGCCGCGGUAAUACGGAGGGUGCAAGCGUUAUCCGGAUUUAUUGGGUUUAAAGGGUCCGUAGGCGGAUCCGUAAGUCAGUGGUGAAAUCUCAUAGCUUAACUAUGAAACUGCCAUUGAUACUGCGGGUCUUGAGUAAGGUAGAAGUAGCUGGAAUAAGUAGUGUAGCGGUGAAAUGCAUAGAUAUUACUUAGAACACCAAUUGCGAAGGCAGGUUACUAUGUCUUAACUGACGCUGAUGGACGAAAGCGUGGGGAGCGAACAGGAUUAGAUACCCUGGUAGUCCACGCCGUAAACGAUGCUAACUCGUUUUUGGGCUUUCGGGUUCAGAGACUAAGCGAAAGUGAUAAGUUAGCCACCUGGGGAGUACGAACGCAAGUUUGAAACUCAAAGGAAUUGACGG
Molecule: ribosomal RNA, 905 nt
Filed under: uncultured Bacteroidota bacterium
Lineage: Bacteria; Pseudomonadati; Bacteroidota
Description: bacterial SSU rRNA
Rfam family: Bacterial small subunit ribosomal RNA
Source: RNAcentral